Long non-coding RNA from Empidonax traillii (willow flycatcher), 293 nucleotides. RefSeq lists it as uncharacterized. The transcript has 3 exons. The record is from RefSeq and is a predicted model, not a curated record. NCBI's taxonomy places the organism in Eukaryota, Metazoa, Chordata, Aves, Passeriformes, Tyrannidae.
UGUAUGUCUUACUAUUGUAGAAAAGGAAAAAAGAGAACAAAAUGAAGAAAAAGAAAGAAAAGAAGAAAAAGAGAGAGAAAACAGGACCUGUCCAGCUUUCCAAGUUCUUCAAAAACAAAAAGAAGAAUGAAAACUACAGCAUGAUAACAGGAAAGAAAAUUAAGAUGAAAAUUAAGAAGACUAAGGAAGAUAUAGAGAGAGACCGGAACCGUGCACAGCUCCUGGAAUUUCUGAACUCUGCCUUGUAAUGGGAAGAGUGCUGGCCAAGGACUUGUAGAUAUACCAAGUCAAUG